This 250-nucleotide ribosomal RNA is filed under the name uncultured bacterium. RNAcentral describes it as "partial 16S ribosomal RNA". It matches the Rfam family "Bacterial small subunit ribosomal RNA", at positions 524 to 773 of the family's 1533-position model. The record is from RNAcentral.
UACGUAGGGGGCAAGCGUUAUCCGGAUUUACUGGGUGUAAAGGGAGCGUAGGCGGUCUGGCAAGUCUGAUGUGAAAACCCGGGGCUCAACCCCGUGACUGCAUUGGAAACUGCCAAACUAGAUUGCAGGAGAGGUAAGUGGAAUUCCUAGUGUAGCGGUGAAAUGCGUAGAUAUUAGGAGGAACACCAGUGGCGAAGGCGGCUUACUGGACUGUAAAUGACGCUGAGGCUCGAAAGCGUGGGGAGCAAAC